RNAcentral lists this small nuclear RNA (106 nucleotides) under Ovis aries (sheep). RNAcentral describes it as "U12 minor spliceosomal RNA (ENSOARG00000024995.1)". Lineage: Eukaryota; Metazoa; Chordata; Mammalia; Artiodactyla; Bovidae. The record is from RNAcentral.
AUGCCUUCAACUUAUGAGUAAGGAAAAUGGGUCAAAAUAAUGCCUGAAUCCUUACUGUUAAUGUGAACUGAAUUUUUUAGCAGGUGAGAAUUCAGAUUUUUACCUA